This 253-nucleotide ribosomal RNA is filed under the name uncultured bacterium. RNAcentral's name for it is "partial 16S ribosomal RNA". It matches the Rfam family "Bacterial small subunit ribosomal RNA", at positions 524 to 776 of the family's 1533-position model. The record is from RNAcentral.
AACGUAGGACGCAAGCGUUAUCCGGAAUUACUGGGCGUAAAGCGCGUGUAGGUGGUUUUAUAAGUCACUGUUGAAAGCUCCCGGCUAAACUGGGAGAGGUGCGGUGAGACUGUAGAGCUAGAGUUUGGGAGAGGGGUGCGGAAUUCCGGGUGUAGCGGUGGAAUGCGUAGAGAUCCGGAAGAACACCGGUGGCGAAGGCGGCCUGCUGGGCAGUGGCUGACGCUGAGGCGCGACAGCGUGGGGAGCAAACAGG